Molecule: ribosomal RNA, 650 nt
Filed under: uncultured marine eukaryote
Lineage: Eukaryota
Description: SSU rRNA
Rfam family: Eukaryotic small subunit ribosomal RNA
Source: RNAcentral
UGGUUAAAAAGCUCGUAGUUUGAUCUCGGCGGUCUGGGAGCGGUUCGCUCGCUAGAGUGCUACUGCUCCAUAGUCCGUAGUUUUGCCAGAGGUCUCGGGGUGCUCUUAACCGAGUGUCCCGCGAUGCUGGCAGGUUUACUUUGAAAAAAUUAGAGUGCUCAAAGCAGGCUAUUACGCCUGAAUAUUCGUGCAUGGAAUAAUAGAAUAGGAAGCCGUUUCUAUUUUGUUGGUUUUCGGAAAUCGACUUUAUGAUUAAUAGGGACAGUCGGGGGCAUUUGUAUUCAAACGACAGAGGUGAAAUUCUUGGACCGUUUGAAGACAAACUACUGCGAAAGCAUUUGCCAAGAAUGUUUUCAUUAUCAAGAACGAAAGUUAAAGGUUCGAAGGCGAUUAGAUACCGCCCUAGUUUUAACCAUAAACGAUGCCAGCUAGCGAUCUGCGGACGUUUUUUUUGUAGACUCCGCAGGAAGCUUCCGGGAAACCAAAGCAUUUGGGUUCCAGGGGAAGUAUGGUUGCAAAGCUGAAACUUAAAGGAAUUGACGGAAGGGCACCACCAGGAGUGGAGCCUGUGGCUUAAUUUGACUCAACACGGGAAAUCUCACCAGGCCCGGACACUGGAAGGAUUGACAGAUUGAUAGCUCUUUCUUGAU